CGGCCGCGUCGACGGCCCAGACUCCUACGGGAGGCAGCAGUAGGGAAGUCUUCGGCAAUGGACGGAAGUCUGACCGAGCAACGCCGCGUGAGUGAAGAAGGUUUUCGGAUCGUAAAGCUCUGUUGUAAGAGAAGAACGAGUGUGAGAGUGGAAAGUUCACACUGUGACGGUAUCUUACCAGAAAGGGACGGCUAACUACGUGCCAGCAGCCGCGGUAAUACGUAGGUCCCGAGCGUUGUCCGGAUUUAUUGGGCGUAAAGCGAGCGCAGGCGGUUAGAUAAGUCUGAAGUUAAAGGCUGUGGCUCAACCAUAGUUCGCUUUGGAAACUGUCAAACUUGAGUGCAGAAGGGGAGAGUGGAAUUCCAUGUGUAGCGGUGAAAUGCGUAGAUAUAUGGAGGAACACCGGUGGCGAAAGCGGCUCUCUGGUCUGUAACUGACGCUGAGGCUCGAAAGCGUGGGGAGCGUCGACGCGGCCG
RNAcentral lists this ribosomal RNA (476 nucleotides) under uncultured bacterium. Its description in RNAcentral is "bacterial SSU rRNA". It matches the Rfam family "Bacterial small subunit ribosomal RNA", at positions 315 to 787 of the family's 1533-position model. The record is from RNAcentral.